UACGGGGGGGGCAAGCGUUGUUCGGAAUUACUGGGCGUAAAGCGUGCGUAGACGGUUAUGUAAGUCGGGUGUGAAAGCCCCGGGCUCAACCUGGGAAGGCCAUUCGAGACUGCAUAGCUAGGGUGCGGAAGAGGGAAGCGGAAUUUCAGGUGUAGCGGUGAAAUGCGUAGAUAUCUGAAGGAACACCAGUGGCGAAAGCGGCUUCCUGGUCCAGCACCGACGUUCAGGCACGAAAGCGUGGGGAGCAAACAGG
This 253-nucleotide ribosomal RNA is filed under the name uncultured bacterium. RNAcentral describes it as "partial 16S ribosomal RNA". It matches the Rfam family "Bacterial small subunit ribosomal RNA", at positions 524 to 776 of the family's 1533-position model. The record is from RNAcentral.